This 73-nucleotide transfer RNA is filed under the name Phycisphaerales bacterium. RNAcentral's name for it is "tRNA-Trp". It matches the Rfam family "tRNA". From Rfam's summary of the family: Transfer RNA (tRNA) molecules are approximately 80 nucleotides in length. Their secondary structure includes four short double-helical elements and three loops (D, anti-codon, and T loops). The record is from RNAcentral. Lineage: Bacteria; Pseudomonadati; Planctomycetota; Phycisphaerae; Phycisphaerales.
ACGCCGGUAGCUCAACUGGCAGAGCAGCGGAUUCCAAAUCCGCAGGUUGAGGGUUCGAUUCCUUCCCGGCGUG